GAGUUUGAUCCUGGCUCAGGACGAACGCUGGCGGCGCGCCUAACACAUGCAAGUCGAACGAGAGAGGGGGAGCUUGCUUCCUCAAUCGAGUGGCGAACGGGUGAGUAACGCGUGAGGAACCUGCCUCAAAGAGGGGGACAACAGUUGGAAACGACUGCUAAUACCGCAUAAGCCCACAGGUCGGCAUCGACCAGAGGGAAAAGGAGCAAUCCGCUUUGAGAUGGCCUCGCGUCCGAUUAGCUAGUUGGUGAGGUAAUGGCCCACCAAGGCGACGAUCGGUAGCCGGACUGAGAGGUUGAACGGCCACAUUGGGACUGAGACACGGCCCAGACUCCUACGGGAGGCAGCAGUGGGGAAUAUUGCACAAUGGGGGAAACCCUGAUGCAGCGACGCCGCGUGGAGGAAGAAGGUCUUCGGAUUGUAAACUCCUGUUGUUGAGGAAGAUAAUGACGGUACUCAACAAGGAAGUGACGGCUAACUACGUGCCAGCAGCCGCGGUAAAACGUAGGUCACAAGCGUUGUCCGGAAUUACUGGGUGUAAAGGGAGCGCAGGCGGGAAGACAAGUUGGAAGUGAAAUCUAUGGGCUCAACCCAUAAACUGCUUUCAAAACUGUUUUUCUUGAGUAGUGCAGAGGUAGGCGGAAUUCCCGGUGUAGCGGUGGAAUGCGUAGAUAUCGGGAGGAACACCAGUGGCGAAGGCGGCCUACUGGGCACCAACUGACGCUGUGGCUCGAAAGUGUGGGUAGCAACAGGAUUAGAUACCCUGUAGUCCACACCGUAAACGAUGAUUACUAGGUGUUGGAGGAUUGACCCCUUCAGUGCCGCAGUUAACACAAUAAGUAAUCCACCUGGGGAGUACGACCGCGAGGUUGAAACUCAAAGGAAUUGACGGGGGCCCGCACAAGCAGUGGAGUAUGUGGUUUAAUUCGACGCAACGCGAAGAACCUUACCAAGUCUUGACAUCCUGCGACGCACAUAGAAAUAUGUGUUUCCUUCGGGACGCAGAGACAGGUGGUGCAUGGUUGUCGUCAGCUCGUGUCGUGAGAUGUUGGGUUAAGUCCCGCAACGAGCGCAACCCUUACUGUCAGUUACUACGCAAGAGGACUCUGGCAGGACUGCCGUUGACAAAACGGAGGAAGGUGGGGAUGACGUCAAAUCAUCAUGCCCUUUAUGACUUGGGCUACACACGUACUACAAUGGCGUUAAACAAAGAGAAGCAAGACCGCGAGGUGGAGCAAAACUCAGAAACAACGUCCCAGUUCGGACUGCAGGCUGCAACUCGCCUGCACGAAGUCGGAAUUGCUAGUAAUCGUGGAUCAGCAUGCCACGGUGAAUACGUUCCCGGGCCUUGUACACACCGCCCGUC
Molecule: ribosomal RNA, 1366 nt
Filed under: uncultured bacterium
Lineage: Bacteria
Description: bacterial SSU rRNA
Rfam family: Bacterial small subunit ribosomal RNA
Source: RNAcentral